CUGGCUCAGAGUGAACGCUGGCGGUAGGCCUAACACAUGCAAGUCGAACGGCAGCACAGAGGAGCUUGCUCCUGGGUGGCGACCGGCGCACGGGUGAGUAACGCGUAUGCAACCUACCUAUCAGAGGGGAAUAACCCGGCGAAAGUCGGACUAAUACCGCAUAAAACAGGGGCACCGCAUGGUGAUAUUUGUUAAAGAAAUUCGCUGAUAGAUGGGCAUGCGUUCCAUUAGGUAGUUGGUGAGGUAACGGCUCACCAAGCCGACGAUGGAUAGGGGAACUGAGAGGUUGGUCCCCCACACUGGUACUGAGACACGGACCAGACUCCUACGGGAGGCAGCAGUGAGGAAUAUUGGUCAAUGGGCGGGAGCCUGAACCAGCCAAGUCGCGUGAAGGAAGAAGGAUCUAUGGUUCGUAAACUUCUUUUGCAGGGGAAUAAAGUGCAGGACGUGUCCUGUUUUGUAUGUACCCUGAGAAUAAGGAUCGGCUAACUCCGUGCCAGCCGCGGC
This 507-nucleotide ribosomal RNA is filed under the name uncultured bacterium. RNAcentral's name for it is "bacterial SSU rRNA". It matches the Rfam family "Bacterial small subunit ribosomal RNA", at positions 19 to 518 of the family's 1533-position model. The record is from RNAcentral.